This 1719-nucleotide ribosomal RNA is filed under the name Triticum aestivum (bread wheat). Its description in RNAcentral is "partial small subunit ribosomal RNA". Lineage: Eukaryota; Viridiplantae; Streptophyta; Magnoliopsida; Poales; Poaceae. The record is from RNAcentral.
AUGGUUUCUCACCACCGUUUUAGAUCAUUGCGCCGCCAAGCAAGUCUUCUCCAUCCCUCCUUUCGCCGUGCACCGGGAGAAGGGACAGCAGGCCUCCGGAACCCCGCCUCUCGUGAUCCUGUAUGGGAGAGGGGCGAUCAGGUUUUUGGGGAACGCACUCGCGCGACUGCUGGCAGCGACGACUUCUUCCCCGACCUCGGCAACCUCAUCCUCGCCGACAUGGGCGACAACGUCAACGCCGGCGGUGCUGCUCCCACUACACCGUAUGUGAUUCUAUCCUUCCUGUUCGAGAUCGUGGUAGAAUUCAUGUUUCUAGUAUGUGCCCUAGAUGUGAUCUGUUCAUCUACUAUGCUAGUUCGCAUGAUUAGUUUAAACUCUACUAUUGCUGUCAUGAUCUAUUUCCUAUUUAUUCGGAUUAAAUCUCGUAGUAAUUUGCUCAUAUUUUCAACAAUCCAAAAACCUGAUUAUAGGCAAUUUACUCCGAGUGGUUUUGCUGCGCAUCUGAAGCCGCCUGCCUUUAAGGGGGCGCAAUAUAAGAGGUGGCGCACGAGAGCAGUCUACUGGUUUCAGACCAUGGGUUGUUAUGACGCCACCAAGGGCAAGCCUGAGGGCGAUCUUAAUCCAGCACAUCUGGAAGCUUUUGAGAAGAUCGAUACUCUCUUUAAAGGCGCUCUUCUGAGUGUUCUUGAUGACUCCAUUGUGGAUUCGUAUAUGUCGUUUCACAACGGCAAGGACAUGUGGGCUGCGCUCGAGGCCAACUUUGGUGCCUCGGACGCCGGCAGCGAGUUGUACGUCAUGGAGCAAUUCUAUGACUACAAGAUGACUGAUGAGCGCUCUGUUGUACAACAGGCUCAUGAGAUACAGUCGCUCGCAAAAGAACUUGAGUACUUCAAGUGUGUGUUGCUGGACAAAUUUGUUACCGGAGGCAUCAUUGCCAAGCUUCCACCUUCGCGGAACAAUUUUGCUACUUCCCUGAAACACAAGAGACAGGAGUUUUCUGUUGCGGAUCUCAUUGGUACUCUUGAUGUUGAAGAGAAGGCGAGAGCAAAGGACACACGUGCUCGAGUUGCUGAGGGAGCUUCUAGUGCCCACAUGGUACAGAAGAAGAACUUCCAGCCCAACAAGUUCAAAAACAACAAGAACAAAACUCAGGGCAAAGGCAAGUUUGAUACAAAGAACAAGCCAUCACAUUCUACCAACUUCAAGAAGAAUUCUCAUAAGAAGGGGAAGGGACUUUGCCAUGUCUGCGGUAAUCCUAAUCACUGGGCUCCGAAAUGUCCUAACCGCUUUGAGGAGCGCGAACAUGAGAAGAGCGGCAAGUCCACUAAUGUUGUCAUCGGUGAUACUGAUAUGAAGGAAUCUGGGUACGGUAUUCUUCCUACCAUCCUUUCAGUAUUUCAAUCUCCUGAUUGGUUAAUUGACACCGGUGCUAAUGUACAUGUUUGUGCUGAUGCCUCCAUAUUUUCUUCUUACCAGGUCACAGGGACUUCUCCCGUGCUGAUGGGGAAUGGGUCACAUGCCAUCGUUCGAGGAGUUGGUACGGUCGAUCUGAAGUUUACUUCGGGGAAGACUGUGCGUCUGAAGAACGUUCAUCAUGUGCCGUCCAUCAAUAAAAAUCUCGUUAGCGGUUCCCGUUUAUGUCGAGAUGGUUUUAAGUUGGUUUUCGAAUCCAAUAAAGUUGUAAUUUCUAAGUGUGGACAAUUUUUUGGAAGGCUAUGA